Molecule: ribosomal RNA, 480 nt
Filed under: uncultured eukaryote
Lineage: Eukaryota
Description: bacterial SSU rRNA
Rfam family: Eukaryotic small subunit ribosomal RNA
Source: RNAcentral
ACGCGUACGGAGAAUUAGGGUUCGACUCCGGAGAAUGAGCAUGAGAGACGGCUCAUAGUUCUAAGGAAGGCAGCAGGCGCGAAAAUUGUCCAAUGUACGCUAGUACGAGACAGUGACGAUAAAUCUUCAGCCGAGUAAUCGGUAUGAAGCUGAAGCAAGUGUAUAUGCCUUGCUAAACGCAAUUAGUGGGAAAGCAUGGUGCCAGCAGCCGCGGUAAUUCCAUCACUGAUAGCCUUCUCUUACGUUGCUGCAGUUAAAAGGCUCGUAGCCGUUGGUAGCAUUGCGUGUCACUUUGAGAAAAUCGGAGCGUUCAUAGCAGGCAAGCCGUUGCACAGUGCAGCAAAGCACGACAUCGUAUCCCUCGGGGUAUAUGUAGUANAUGGCAGUGCNGUGGUUGAUGGUAUCUGAUGGGGACAGGUGAAAUANGAUGAUCCAUCAGGGACCUCCANGAGCGAAAGCAGUCAACAGCACUGGCCAGUU